AUACGUAGGGGGCGAGCGUUGUCCGGAAUGAUUGGGCGUAAAGGGCGCGUAGGCGGCCCGGUAAGUCUGGAGUGAAAGUCCUGUUUUUAAGAUGGGAAUUGCUUUGGAUACUGUCGGGCUUGAGUGCAGGAGAGGUAAGUGGAAUUCCCAGUGUAGCGGUGAAAUGCGUAGAGAUUGGGAGGAACACCAGUGGCGAAGGCGACUUACUGGACUGUAACUGACGCUGAGGCGCGGAAGUGUGGGGAGCAAACAGGAUUAGAUACCCUGGUAGUCCACACUGUAAACGAUGAAUGCUAGGUGUAGGGGGUAUCGACCCCUUCUGUGCCGCAGUCAACACAAUAAGCAUUCCGCCUGGGGAGUACGGCCGCAAGGUUGAAACUUAAAGGAAUUGACGGGG
This 397-nucleotide ribosomal RNA is filed under the name uncultured bacterium. Its description in RNAcentral is "partial 16S ribosomal RNA". It matches the Rfam family "Bacterial small subunit ribosomal RNA", at positions 523 to 918 of the family's 1533-position model. The record is from RNAcentral.